This is a long non-coding RNA of Hemicordylus capensis (graceful crag lizard), 1527 nucleotides long. RefSeq lists it as uncharacterized. The transcript has 2 exons. NCBI's taxonomy places the organism in Eukaryota, Metazoa, Chordata, Lepidosauria, Squamata, Cordylidae. The record is from RefSeq and is a predicted model, not a curated record.
AAAAGAGGAAGUUGCAAGCAGGGGCGGAUGGGCUGGAGGAAGCUCCCUGCUCCGGGGAAUUCCUUGGCUGCUGCAUAAGCAGGAUUGCCUUGAACUGUCUCUCCCGAGAGGGAUGUCUUUCUGUUACAGACCAAAGCAGUGGUCAAGUGAGAGAGAGAGGAGCUUUCAGAAGAACCGGCAGUGUGACAGACCGGGCUAACUAUCAUCAGCAACAGCUGCUUCCUGAAGGGGGUUCACCAUUUGCAUUCCCAGUCCAGUCCAAUGAUGACGGAACAUCCAUCGGCUGCCCAGUCUUGUGUUCGAGGAAAAGGCCGUGAUGCAGGUUUCUUGUUCCUGAUCCUCCUGCAUCCCAGAGUGCUAUAGUUAAAGACUUGAUGCCAAAUAUCUGAAGAAGGCCUGAAGGCUAACAGGCCAGCCAGAUAUUAUACGACAUUAUUCCACAUUGCCCAUAAGGGGGGAGCCAAGGCUCUCAAGCACAUGGACAUCCGAGCUUGUCUAUGAACACUAGCCAAACAAGCCGUGCUUGCCUAGCCGAAACUAACACUCAGCUCCGCACAGCAGUGUACCAAAAUCGGCUAGCACUUGACUAUCUGCUAGCAAUGGAGGGUGGUGUGUGUGGAAAAUUCAACCUGUCUAAUUGUUGUAUCCAGAUCAAUGACCAAGGGAAGGCCAUAGAGGAAAUCACUGAUCGGAUGCGCAAAAUAGUUCAUGUUCCAGUCCAGAACUGGGAAGGCCUAGCCACCCCCGAUUGGUUUGAAAAUUGGUUUGAAAAUUGGUACUUUGGAGGUUUGAAAACCAUGGCGGGAGGAGUUCUGAUAUUGCUUUUUGGUUGUUUAUUGAUACCUUGUUUAUUACCCCUGUUUAUCUCUUUGGGACGAGAGGCCGUUGAGAGAAUAGUAAGAAAAGAAACUGCCCCCCAUAUAAUGGCUAUGGAUACAAGGUUACCUCAAGAAGAGAAGCCAUAAAAAUGGCUUCUAAGGGGGGAAAUGUGGAAUGAGGGGGAAAUGCCUUUUCUGAAAGCUGCUUUGUAAUCACUUUGUUCUCAUGAAAUGGGAAAGUGCCAUGAAAUGGGAAAGUGCACUGGUCAAGAAAUGGUUAAUAGAGUCUGCAAGUUGCCUUGCCAAAUUGUGAGCUGUAAAGCCAUAAAUUUGCUGACAAGCUAGAGGGGGAAGAGCCCCCUUUCCUUGUAUCUCCUGAAAAGCAAGGGCCAGCAAAAAAUAACACUUCAAGGCCAUCUGAGGAAGACAGUUUCGCUUAUCAAUAGGCAGUAGAAAUGUUUCUUUGUACUAGGGAAUGCUUGUCUAACUAGCAAUGAUUAUAAUAUUUGUAAUAUGACGGACAAUGAUGUUAACCAAUGAACUAAUUGGUUCUUUGGGGCUGAAUGUUGAUGCCCAGCUAUGUAGUUAUGCCAAAGUAUAAAAACUUGUGACCCAGGCAGCUGCGCGCGUCUCUCUGACUAGCUGUUAAGCUCAGGGAGGGGCCACCAGCGCUGGUUUUUCAAUAAAUGGUGAUUAUUGCUUCCUUCAA